RNAcentral lists this ribosomal RNA (496 nucleotides) under uncultured bacterium. RNAcentral's name for it is "bacterial SSU rRNA". It matches the Rfam family "Bacterial small subunit ribosomal RNA", at positions 36 to 524 of the family's 1533-position model. The record is from RNAcentral.
ACCGGCGGCAGCCUACCAUGCAAGUCGGACGGUAGCACAGAGAGCUUGCUCUUGGGUGACGAGUGGCGGACGGGUGAGUAAUGUCUGGGGAUCUGCCCGAUAGAGGGGGAUAACCACUGGAAACGGUGGCUAAUACCGCAUAACGUCGCAAGACCAAAGAGGGGGACCUUCGGGCCUCUCACUAUCGGAUGAACCCAGAUGGGAUUAGCUAGUAGGCGGGGUAAUGGCCCACCUAGGCGACGAUCCCUAGCUGGUCUUAGAGGAUGACCAGCCACACUGGAACUGAGACACGGUCCAGACUCCUACGGGAGGCAGCAGUGGGGAAUAUUGCACAAUGGGCGCAAGCCUGAUGCAGCCAUGCCGCGUGUAUGAAGAAGGCCUUCGGGUUGUAAAGUACUUUCAGCGGGGAGGAAGGCGACAGGGUUAAUAACUCUGUCGAUUGACGUUACCCGCAGAAGAAGCACCGGCUAACUCCGGUGCCAGCAGCCGCGGUAAU